CAUAUUUCUACUCUCAUUCGAAUUGGCUUUGCUCAGUUUGUGUUACAUUCCAUGCGAAACUAUCACUUUGCCCAGAACCACAUUCGACUUUCCAUCAUUAGUUUAGUGGCAGCAGGGGUUUUAUGUGUUAGGACUCGCGAGUUUUGCUUUGUGCAUAAGCAGUUCGCUGGGAAACAGGAAAAAGAAAAAAGAGUUCCUUUUGAUUCCCCGUAAGGCCUUUUUCGAAGGGAGCACGGCAUUUACGCUUGGUAACAGGGGCAUCAUUCGAAUUGAACCGCAAGUAGCUGUUUGAAACUGGGGAGGAGGAGCAGGAAAAGUCUGGGCGAAUGGGGGAGAUCGCAAGCGUAGCGCAGGCGGUGAUUGCAGCCUUGGACUGGAACUCCUCUGCUGAAACCAGGCACUCUGCUUCCGUUUUUCUCGAUUCUAUAAAAUCAGGAGAUGUUCGUGUUUUAGCAGCUACCUCAUUCGAAUUGGUAAAGCCGAACUGGUCUUCUGAAAUUCGCCAUUAUGGAUUUAAAUUGCUACAGCAUUUAGUGCGGUUGCGAUGGGAGGAGCUCCACAGUGAAGAAAGGCUGCAGUUUGUUGAGAUGGUAGCUGCCAUGGUUUGUGAGGUAGCAAAACCUCAUGAAGUAUGGGUAUUAAAGAGCCAGACUGCAGCACUUUUUGCUGAGGUUGCAAGAAGAGAACUUCCUUUAUGGGAGAAAUUAUUAUCAACUAUUUUUUCUUUAAGAACCAAGAGUCCAAUACAUGCAGAAAUGGUGGCUAUGGUGUUGAGAUGGCUUCCAGAGGACAUAACUGUGCACAAUGAAGAUUUGGAAGGAGAUCGACGGAGGCAGUUAGUUCGUAGUCUAAAAGAUUCCUUGCCAUACAUUUUCGAUCAAUUACAUAUGUUGUUUGGUCAAUAUUUAGGAGCAACAGUAAAUGCUGUGGAGCAAAACCAAAUGGAUGUGGCUAAACAGAAUGCUGCUACAGUUACUGCAGCUCUUAAUGCUGUUAAUGCAUAUGCAGAAUGGGUCCCUGUCCCACUUCUAGGGAACUCUCAUUUGACAGAUGUAUGUGGACAUCUGCUGCGCUAUCGUGAAUUUCGUCUCAUUGCUUGUGAAUUUUUUAAGAUGAUUGCUUUAAGGCGAAGGCCAUCUGAUGAAACUCUUUUGGAUUUUGAUUCAACCAUGGCUUGUAGCUUUGAUAUUGUUAUGAAUUCUGCAAGGGAUUUCUUGGAGAACUCAGCUUCAGGAAUCAGUUGCCUUGAUGACAGUGAAGUUGAAUUUGCUGAAUGCAUAUGCCUAACUAUGGUUGCUCUAGGGUGUAAUAACUUGCAGUGCAUUGCUGGACAUGAAGAAAGGCUUUCCUUAUAUCUUUUAGAGAUGCUUGGAUUUUUGCAGCAUCCCAAGUUUGCACUUCAUUUUGAGUCAUUGCCUCUCUGGUUGUUUUUGUUGAGGGGGUCAAGUUCAAACCUGAAGACAAAUGAACAAGUGGAAGGGAGUAGAUCAUCUCUUAUCAGCGGGACAAACUCAACUGCAGUGUUCAUUGAUAAGGAAAAGAAGGGAAUGACAAUUAGAAUCAGUGAUGAUUUCUGUGGCAUUAUUUUGGAUGUUGCUUUUCAGCGUAUGCUCAAGAAAAACCCUACUAUUGGACUUACAUUAUCAAAUAAUUCAUUGGAAAUUUGGAGUGAUGAUUUUGCAAGCAAGAGUGAUUUUGGCCAGUAUCGUGGUAAACUGAUCGAGCUUAUUCGCCUUAUUGGUGCUCAACAGCCAGUAAUAGCUGCUUCAAGGAUUUCUCAGAGAAUUGAAGGAAUGAUAAAUUUAUAUUUAGUUGGGUCGAUUCCUUCUCAGGAUCUUGCAGUCUUAGAAGGCACUCAACUUGCACUGGAUACAACAAUAAGUGCCAUUUUUGAUGGGGCAUCAUAUGCUGUAAACAUUUCGUCUCCUGCUGUGCAUCAUACAUUGCAUACCAUUCUUGGAGGCAUAUUGCAGAGGUUGUGUUCUCUAAACUGGACAGAACCUGCACAAGUAGAAAUUAUUGGGAGGCUUUUAGAUGCAAUGGGGCCAUAUCUAAAGCAUUUUCCAGAAGCAGUAGGCAGCAUAAUUAAUAAACUCUUUGAUCUUUUGAAGUUGCUUCCAGUAAUUCAGAAGGGUCAUACUCAGGAUCUUAUGGCAGUGUCCAUGAGUCGAGCAAGGUUACAGAUUUGCACUUCAUUUAUUCGAAUUGCACAGGCAGCUGCCACAAGCCUUCUACCUCAUAUGGAGCAAAUUGCCGGAAUCAUGGCUCGUCUUGAGGUGGAUGGACAACUUCGACAGAGUGAACACAAUCUUCUUGGAGAAGCAUUUCUUAUUAUGGCUUCAGCUGCUGGGAGUGAACAACAACAAAAAAUAUUGGCAUGGUUGCUUGAGCCAAUAAGCAAACAGUGGCUUCAAAUGGAAUGGCAAACUAAAUACUUGUCUGAGCCAAUGGGUUUGGUACAUCUCUUAACUAGAGGACCAAAUACAUCAGAGAAUGAAUUAAUGUGGUACAUUUUUCAUACAAUAACCUUUUAUGAGAGAGCUCUUAAAAGAUGUGGUAGUAAAAAGACCCCUCAUUGUACUUCUCAAGAGUCUUCAGUUAUUGAUAUGGAUUCUGCUUAUGUUCAUCCUUUGGCUUCCCAUUUAAGCUGGAUGUUACCUCCUCUUUUGAAGGUACUCCGCUGCAUACAUUCACUUUGGUCACAGGCAAUAGUUCAAGCAUUGCCAGUAGAGAUGCGAGCUGCUCUACUCAUGUCUCCUGCUGAGCAAUCUGGUCUUUUGGGUGAGGUGGCACCAAAAUCAAAAGGGAUGGUAGCCGGUGAUGGAAGUCAAUUGGAUUUUAGUAGACCACAAAAUAUGGAGUCAAAAGAAAAUGAAAUACGAAACUGGUUAAAAGGAGUCCGGGACAGUGGGUAUAUUCUAUUAGGUCUAGCAACAGGCAUUGGGGAUCAAUUUUAUAACUGUGUAGAUAGUGAUUCUCUUGUUGUAGCCCUUCUUGAAAACAUUGAAGCAAUGCAUUUCAGACACAUCCGUCAGCUUAUCCACUCUGUUCUAACUCCUUUUGUAAAAACUUGCCCUACAAUCUGUUGGGGAGCAUGGUUAGGAAUAUUUUUGCCUCGCUUACUUGGGCAUUGUCAGAAAUCUCUAAUUGAUUCUUGGAGCAGCCUCAUAUGGAAAGGAAGAGCUAAUGUGCCAGAUUGUUGUGGUGAUGGUUCUGCACCAGAUUUAAAAGCAGAGGUUAUGGAAGAAAAGAUCCUCAGAGAUUUGACUCGAGAGACUUGCGGUUUAUUGGCAGCAUUGGCUUCCCCUGGGGCCAAUAAGAGUCUACCAUCGAGUGAACAAAUUGAACAACUUAACCGCAUGGAAUCAUCUCCCCUGAUUGACACCGAAAAGAUUGCGUCUGAGUCAUUAAUAGGUUUCUUAUUCAAGCACAACGAUGGAGCUGUUCCUGCACUCCAGAUAUGCUUAAAAGCCUUCUCAUGGCCUGAUAGUGAAGCUGUGGCAAAAGUUGUUUUAUUUUGUGGAUCUGUUGUCAUGUUUGCUGUUUCCACCAAUAAUAUUGAACUCCAGCAGUUUGUGGCAAAGGAUUUGUUUGAAGCAGUCAUUCAAGGUUUAACUCUAGAGUCAAAUGCAAUGAUCCAUGCAGAACUCAUUAGUCUUUGUCGUGAAAUUUUUAUUCAACUCUCGACUAGACAUCUUGCAAGACAAGUGCUUCUGUCACAGUUGUCUGUUACACCAGAUGCUUUAUCAGCUUUUGAAAAUGCUUUGUUGAAGACAUCUAGUGCAAAAGAGCAAAAGCAACACAUGAAAAGUUUGUUAUUGUCAGCAGCUGGUAGCCAAUUGAAAGCUCUAUUGGCUCAGAAGAAUACGAAAGUUAUUACCAAUGUAACUUGUACGAGAACAUCAUUUUUACAAAGAAUAGUGGCCUCUAUGUCGUAUUCAGCUAGGGGCUCCAGAUCUUUUUAGCCAUCAAGUGCUACGAAGCAUAAUGUUAUCACGUUAUGUUCUAUGGUUGGAUUAUUUGUUCACAAAUGUUUUGAAGACAUAUUGUGAAUUAGUUAAUGUUCAUUCAUUUUGAAAACAAUCCAUUUACGAUGAAGACAUUUAGUACAAAUAAUCACACAUUUUUUAUUUUUAAUAAUUAGCACACUUGAACAUAUAUUACUUUCGGCGUACCAUUACACCUCCUUUUGGUGCAAGUGCUAGUAUAAAUCUGUUCAUAAUCUGCCCAUAUGCCUGGGGAUAGUCUUCUCACAGUCUUCUGAUAAAUCUGCACUUGAUCCUCUUUAAAAACUCUCCUUAUACCUUCAGCACUAUACACUUCUCACCUACAGGUGUAUAUAAUUAUUAUCUUCUCAGCACAUAUACACCCACAAAUUUCCCUUUUUGGCAGAUUUAUAAUUUUAGCAUUCUACAUACUCAAUCUGCACAUUCAAUCCUUAUAUAUAUGCUUUCAUAUAAUGGGACAUACCUUAUGAUCAUCAAAAAGACACAUCCUAAAUCAACCCGUGGGGAUUAAGAAUCAUAACUAAUAUUUAUUUGCAACCGUUGAUGUGCUCUUUUCAUAAGUCGUGGCAUUGACUAAUCCACGUUUUCUCAUAACAAACCACACCUUUUCAUUUAUAAUUACCUUUCUUUUUUUGAAUACUAAUACGCAGUUUUUUGUCUUUAGAGGAAGACAAAUUAAAGUUGCUGUCUUGUCUUUUGAAUAAGACAAAAAAUUUGUCUUAUAUGGCUUGCCUUUUCUUACGAAAGUGACCGCUGCCUUUAGUAAGGAUUAAUCCUGAUACAAAUUUGUCUUAUCUGCUCUUUGUCUUAUCGGCCUUUUUGACUUAUUCCGUUUUGUUUCAUUCUCUUGACUUUUUACUUUUUGUCUUAUUCAUACUUGUCCUAUUCUUCUGUCUUUAUCAUCGCUGUCCUUAAACUUCCAUUCCUUAACAUUAUGUACGUGCAAUUACUGCUGUUAAUAGCUUCUUAUAUCUGGCUUUAACAAGUCUUUCAAAUAUCCUUAACUGCUGUUGUCCAGAAUAUCAUCGCUGCUCAUUAGUUUAUUUUGGCUGUCUUAAAAAGACACUUUAAGAUUGACUUUUAUAAGUUCUUUGUAUAAUGAGUCAACCAGCAUUUUAAUUAUGUGAUUGCUUAAUUGUAUCCUUUGUAAGUCUAAGAUUGGUUUUUAUCAGUAUUACACCUCAGCAUUAAGUCAUUAAUCUACGUAAUGACUGUAUGUAGCAUGUUGCUGUGUCUAUUGUCUGCAAGCGCUGCCUUUACAAAAUACAAUUGUUGCAUAUCUUGAUUGCUGUAUUAAAUCCCUGCACCCUUAAUAUCGAUGCUCUCACUAAUAGUAUGUGAUCUGCAUAUUAUUUAUAUGCCUAUGUCUUUUUCUUUAUCACUGCCUUACCAAUGGUUAUCACUGCAUAUUUUUUGUCUUGCCACAUCGUAGUGUCUUGAUGACUAAUGAUAAUGUUCUUAUGAACUUAUCACUGCAAUCUAAAUAACAUAAACUUGGUAAUCUGAUCUGAAUAUUAGUAACCUGAUUACUGUCAUGCUUAAAGAUAUCAUAAACUUCAACAUUUCUGGACAAUAAUUUCUUUGAUAUCAAUUGCAAUUAUCUUUCCAACAAUCUAAUCCAAACUAUCUCAUUCCAUGAUAACAAUCUCACUAAUCUAUUUCUGAAAUCAACAAAUGCAAUCAAUCUUACUCAUGUACCUUCAGCAUGAAUGUCUUCUUUGAUGAGUCUUCUUAUGGCAUCGGUGAUGAUCUUAACAUUACAAAUUUUAUCAAUAACAUCAUCAUCUUUACUCCUUUGACAUCAAUGACAACAUUUCCAACAGUCUCUCCCCUUAAGAUUUGAAGCAAAAGUUUCCACCAUUGAAGAAAUGAAGGACCUGAAUAUGUCAACCAUGGAUGAACUAAAUGGGAUCCUCAUUGAGUAUAAGAUGAGGACUGAAAAUGAGAAGCUAUCAAAGUGAGAAGCAGCCUUCAAAGCUUCAAAGAAGUUGAAAAAUGAAGGGCCUGAAACAAGCAAUGAAGAAGAUACAAAGAAAGCUCAUAUUGUGAGAAAUCUGAAGAAAGUAUCUGACAAAUACAAAGUAACAGCAGCUCGAUCCUUGCAACAUACAAGCGAAUCAACUUUGGAUGAAGGUGAUACAAUUGGAUUGGCAGCAGUUAAUACAGCUUUCUAACUGAAGAUUUCAUUGGCAUUAAUACAUGUAAAUGACAAAUUUUUGAUAGUCUAUUGUAUUUUGUAGUAUUGGGUAUUGAAUCAUUUGUAAUAUGAGCUGUACUAUUAAGACAAGAUCUCAACUCGUGAUUUAGCAAAGGAACAAUCAUUGUCAUCAAAAUAGUAAAUGUAUUGGGUGAGUUGAUUAGUCUCGUGGGCAAGUGAAUGAAAUUCAAAAUUUGAUGUGCAUGUGCGAGAUCAAAGAUUUAAUGUAAAUGGACCAGUGUCAGAAUUUGAGAGCUGCUUUUUUUAAUAGUAAGUAUAUUUUAUUAA
RNA transcript from Cryptomeria japonica (Japanese cedar), 6492 nucleotides. It is a transcript of the gene named protein HASTY 1, with no coding region annotated. NCBI's taxonomy places the organism in Eukaryota, Viridiplantae, Streptophyta, Pinopsida, Cupressales, Cupressaceae. The record is from RefSeq and is a predicted model, not a curated record. The transcript has 23 exons.